Molecule: ribosomal RNA, 164 nt
Filed under: uncultured bacterium
Lineage: Bacteria
Description: partial 16S rRNA
Rfam family: Bacterial small subunit ribosomal RNA
Source: RNAcentral
UAGGGAAUCUUCCACAAUGGGCGAAAGCCUGAUGGAGCAACGCCGCGUGUGUGAUGAAGGCUUUAGGGUCGUAAAGCACUGUUGUAUGGGAAGAAAUGCUAGAAUAGGGAAUGGUUCUAGUUCGACGGUACCAUACCAGAAAGGGACGGCUAAAUACGUGCCAG